UAGGGAAUCUUCGGCAAUGGACGGAAGUCUGACCGAGCAACGCCGCGUGAGUGAAGAAGGUUUUCGGAUCGUAAAGCUCUGUUGUAAGAGAAGAACGAGUGUGAGAGUGGAAAGUUCACANUGUGACGGUANCUUACCAGAAAGGGACGGCUAACUACGNGCAACCAGCCGCGGAAAUACGUGGGCCCCGAGCGUUCCCCGGAUUUAUUGGGCGUAAAGCGAGCGCAGGCGGUUAGAUAAGUCUGAAGUUAAAGGCUGUGGCUUAACCAUAGUACGCUUUGGAAACUGUUUAACUUGAGUGCAAGAGGGGAGAGUGGAAUUCCAUGUGUAGCGGUGAAAUGCGUAGAUAUAUGGAGGGGAAAAAACCGGGCUCGGGGGGGUCUCUGGCUUGUAACUGACGCUGAGGCUCGAAAGCGUGGGGAGCAAACAGGAUUAGAUACCCUGGUAGUCCACGCCGUAAACGAUGAGUGCUAGGUGUUANACCCUUUCCGGGGUUUAGUGCCGCAGCUAACGCAUUAAGCACUCCGCCUGGGGAGUACGACCGCNAGGUU
RNAcentral lists this ribosomal RNA (551 nucleotides) under uncultured bacterium. Its description in RNAcentral is "bacterial SSU rRNA". It matches the Rfam family "Bacterial small subunit ribosomal RNA", at positions 355 to 895 of the family's 1533-position model. The record is from RNAcentral.